Molecule: long non-coding RNA, 1065 nt
Filed under: Marmota monax (woodchuck)
Lineage: Eukaryota; Metazoa; Chordata; Mammalia; Rodentia; Sciuridae
Source: RNAcentral
GAAAACCUAAACAGACCAUAACCAGCCAUUAUAGAAGCAGUAAUAAAAAGCCUUCCAGGGGCUGGAUGUAGUGGUGCAUUCCUAUAAUCCCAGAAGCUUGAAAGGCUGAGGCAGGAGGAUCACAAGUUCAAAACCAGCCUCAUCAAAAGUGAGGUGCUAAGCAACUCAGUGAGACCCUGUCUCUAAAUAAAAUACAAAAUAGGGCUGGGGAUAUGGCUCAAUGGUUGAGUGUUCCUGAGUUCAAUCCAUUGUACCCAAAACAAAACAAACAAACAAAAAAAAACCCAAAAGCCUUCCAACCAGGAAAGGUCUAGGACCAGAUGAAUUCUCAGUUGAAUUCUACCAGACCUUUAAAGAAGAACUAACAUAAAUGUACCUCAAAUUAUUCCAUGAAAUAGAAAGGGAUGCACACUUCCAAAUUUAUUCUGUUAAACCAGUAUCACACUCAUCUAAACCAAAUAAGGACAUAUCAGCAAAAACAGACCAAUAUCUCAGAUGAACUAAGAUGAAAAAAUCCUUAACAAAAUAUUAAAAUAUCAUGUUUAACAAUAUAUUAAAAAUAUUGUACAUAAAGACCAGGUUACUUUUAACCCAGGAAUACUAGAAUGAUUCAACAUACACAAAUAAAAAACGUAAUCCAUUGCAUAAGUAGAAUUAAAGACAAAAAUCUCUUAGUCAUCUUAACAGAUACAGUGGAGGCCUUCUACAGAAUUUGGCACCAAUUUAUGAUAAAAACACUGAAGAAACCAAAGAUAGAAAAAACCUACUCUAACAUCAUAAAGGUUAUAUAUGAAAAUCCCAAAGCCCACAUCAUAAUGGAUGGGGGAAAAUUUAAACUAUUUCCUUUAAAAUCUGGAACAAGACAAGGAUGCCUACUCUUACCACUUCUAUUCUAUUUAGCAUUAGAAAUUCUAGUCACAGCAGUUAAACAAGAGAGGGAAAUAAAAGGGCUCAAAAUAGGAGAGGAAGAAGUCAAAUUAUCACUAUUUUCAGAUGGCAUGAUCCUAUACUUAGUAGAUUCAAAUGUUUGCCAAAGGACUUCUAGAUGAAAUGAACAAAUUCUGC